This 253-nucleotide ribosomal RNA is filed under the name uncultured prokaryote. RNAcentral describes it as "partial 16S ribosomal RNA". It matches the Rfam family "Bacterial small subunit ribosomal RNA", at positions 525 to 777 of the family's 1533-position model. The record is from RNAcentral.
ACGGAGGGGGCUAGCGUUGUUCGGAAUUACUGGGCGUAAAGCGCACGUAGGCGGUUUUGUAAGUCAGAUGUGAAAUCCCCGGGCUUAACCUGGGAACUGCGUUUGAAACUACAAGGCUAGAGUGUGGCAGAGGGGGGUGGAAUUCCACGUGUAGCAGUGAAAUGCGUAGAGAUGUGGAGGAACACCGAUGGCGAAGGCAGCCCCCUGGGUUAACACUGACGCUCAGGCACGAAAGCGUGGGGAGCAAACAGGA